Mustela erminea (ermine) is the source of this 5231-nucleotide long non-coding RNA. RefSeq lists it as uncharacterized. Lineage: Eukaryota; Metazoa; Chordata; Mammalia; Carnivora; Mustelidae. The record is from RefSeq and is a predicted model, not a curated record. The transcript is spliced from 3 exons.
CUGGGGGAAAUUGUGAGGAAAUCAACAGAGUGAGGAAAAUUUAGGGAAAGAAUCAGAAAGUAACAAAGUGUUUCCCUCUGAUGCAUUUGUCUCCUUAAUUUUACUGAUACCCCUAACAUGAACAGCUUUUUCAUAUUCCAAAUGUAGCAGUUAAUAGGAAAAAAAAAAAGACAUUCUAGUUCUAUUGGGCCAAAACCUGGAGCAGCUGGGGACAGUGGAAAGAACACCGUUCUUGGUAAUGGAAGAUCUGGGUUUGAACUUGGCUCUACUUCUUUGAAUCAGUCAUGCUUCAUGCCACUUCCUAAAGCUUCAGUUUCCUUCUCUGUAAAAUGUAAAUGGUAGUCCUGCUUCUUAGAGCCCUACUGAAGAUUAAAUGAGAUCAUGUGUGGGUAAAUGCAGGAUACCUAAUAAGUACUCAAUGAUUCUUUUUAAAAAAGAGAAAGUCAAAGAGAUUUGAUAACUUGUGCCCAAAGCACUGCCUCCCUGGGUCUCAACUUCAACUUGUAUUUGUGUAACUCCACCUGCAGGCUGGCUCCCCUCCACUUUUCCAAGAUUCCUGCAGGCAGGAAGCAAUAUAGCGAUGUUGUAAUUUGAUAAAGAAGUAUGGUGGAAAAGCUGGAGCCCCAUUUCACAUCAGUAUGGUGGAUACUGCCCUGUGGAAAAAUGGUGCCACAACAGGUUUUGUGUGUCCAGAGAUGGGAGUGAUCCGUGGACGUCCUGAAGACUUGGAGUCAGAGUGUCUGCGCUUGAAUUUUUGUCCAUGAAGAGUGGGAUCUGAAGCUGGCUACGAAUGGUCUUGGGGACAAGACAUACAGGCAAGGCGCCCCCUGAACGCUUUGGGUUCACUGUUCUCUCCUUCUUGUUACCAAGGCAGGGCUGUGGUGGCUGCACGAGGAGGGCAGAGAACUUGCUCCAACCUCUUUCGGACCAAAAGCCCAGGUAAUCAGCUGAGCUGGACAUGUUCGCUGGUGGAAUGGACUUCCCACAUUGUCCCACCUUCUUCAAUUCUCCCUCUUGCUUCUGGUUUUAUCAGCAGCAGCCUGAUGAUAAAAUACUCACUUCUAGCAAUGCUGUUUCCCCCCAAACUGGUGAGAAGAGAUUUAACCCGAGAAGCAUAAAGACCUAGCUGAGGGGAAACGUUGACCAAGAAAACGUUAAUAACCAGCUAGUCGCCGUCACAACAUUCCAUUGUGACUACAUUGAGGACCCCAUGGGGGGACCUGUAGAAAUCGCUUUCAUGUUGAAGGCACUGUGGGAAAGAGGGAAACUGAGCAGAGGAGGUACCCUGGGAUUGGGGCAGGCUGAUCUUUAAAGACCAUGAAAGGCCAAUGAGAAACGCACAGGAGCUGCAAAGGCUGAAACCCAAGCAUUCCCUCCAAACUGGAGCUCCUGGAGUGUGUCUCGGAGAAAGGCUGCGCUAACAGGUUUGGAGAGGAAGCAAAGAUGCUAAUGAAGCGUGAACUGGCUGCUUUCAGCAGAGCCUUCUGGGCACCACGCCACUAUCUCGCUUUCUUUCCUACCCAUUUAUUUAUUUAUAUUCUUAAUUAAUGGAAAUUUCAACUCCCAUUAGAUCAGGAGACGUCAGUAAUAAACAGCCACAGCUUUAAGCAGAAAUAAGCUACUGGGGAAGGGCAGAGGCUUCUCUUUCUGCUCCUGGAUUCCAGUCACAUGGCUGGCCUGAGCUCAGGAGAGAAAAUCCGUAUGCUGGUUCUGGUAGGAGAGCCAAGAGCCUGUGUUGAUGGGCCACUGACCUCCAUGGUUAUCUAUGAGUUUCUUUUUCUUCAAGCGUCACUAAGACUUUCCCUCUAAAUUCCUCUGUUGGAAUCAGACAGCUCAGAUUUGAAUCCUACCCGGCUGCGCAAUCUUGGGCAAGUUAAUUAACCUUUCUGUGUCUCAGCCUUUUCUAUUAAAGAAAGUAAUAGUACUUACUCCAUAGGGCAGCUGUGGGUCUUAAAUGAGGUAAUGUGGGGGAAGUACUUGGCACCGUGCCAGACCUAUAGUGGCCGCUCACUGGAUGUUACCCAUUCUCAUCACCAUCAUCCAGAACCCAGACAUACGCAUACACGUAUGACUGUCGCUCCUCUCCCAUGUGCCUCAAGCAGCCCAGCAGAAGCUCCUUCCAGGAGCAGGGCUGGUAAGCACCCUCCUUCAGGAAUGUCCCGAUGCUCCCUGCUCUGGGUUCUAGCAUCUGCUUUGGGAAUAGCAUUGUGAGUCAGGCUAGGGUGGAGUGAAGUCCUGAACCUUGGAACUAUUGGUGUCAUUUGUGAAGCCUGAAGACCUCUGCUUGGGUAUAAUCCAGGGCUUGGAUAUUAAUAUGGGACUUAGGUAUAGCCAAAAAGCCCUUGAUGGGUUGAGACAUGGUGGAGCGAUGAGAGCUGGAAAAAAUAAUCGGUAUCCCGCAGUGAGAGGAAAAGUCCCAGCCCAGCUUUAAAGGAAGGCCGCGGCAGGCUCCUGGAUAGCAGGCCGAGCCUGCCAAGGCAGGGCAACGAUCUGAUGUCACAUCUUCUUGGUUUGACUCUUGGCUUCACAACUUUCUGGCUGUGGGACCUUGGACAAAGCUUGUAACCUUUCUAAGCCUUGGUGUCUUGACAUGAAAAAUGAGCAUGAGAAUAGCCAUGUUCUCCUCAUGGCUGUGCAUAGGAUGACAUGUGAUACCAUAUGAAGUGAUUUAUAGAAUGCCUGGCAAGUUCUCAGAAACUGGUAGCUGUUAUGAUUAGAUCUGUUUUAUUCAUCUCUGUGUUUUCAGUUCCUAUGAUGGUGUCCGCUUAUAGUGAGUGCUCAAGAAAUAUCAAGUAGUCAGAUGGAGAAUGGCACACUUGGGACAACCCACUAAACUUUUUGGGCUUGAUACCUGUAAUGGGGGGGGGUGCUGCUAGAUGGCCUUGAAUGCCACAUCCAGAUCCAGAUCGAGGGAAUCUGUGCCAAUUGCACAGAUGCCUUCUGGGCCUGGGAUCCCUGGGCCUGAGAGUAGAAUGUGUUUUACUUCAAGGAACAAACUUUUCUCUUCCUUGGCAAGAUGACUAUAUGUAUUGACAAAGAACAAAGUAGCAAAGGUCCCAGGUACUGCUGGAGAGAGAAAUUUAAACUUCUGAGUUUGAGUCUUAAAUUACUGGCACCCUUUUGGGUAAAAAAGGAUCUACUAGUUAUCUUGAAUACGCUAUUGGAUUUCUUUUCUAAAGGGAAAGAGUAAGUCAAAAGGUGAGUGAGGCAUUAGUCGGCAUUAAGAAAGAACCAGAGCACAACUGGGAAAGAAUUGUUAUUCCAUCCGGUAAAUUUGCACUCUCUCCUCACCUUGACUACCAGCUUCACUUUGCGGCUCACCUCAUCUCGGAUAGGACACAGCAGAAAUAGAAAAGGUCCCGGAAGGGCAGAACAGAUGGAUAUGGGGGACGGGGCAACUUCACACCAAAAAAGAUGACACAUUUCCUUCUGAAAGGAGCAGAGGAAAGGGGUGAGCACUUCCUGAGGUGGCAAGUGUAAUGAAUGGGGGCAGCAAGCCAAUUGCAGGCUCCUCUUGCCCUUUCCCCUAAGAGGAGAAAGAGGCCGCACUUGACAAAAUUAAAAGGGAGCAAAUUUAGAACUGAUGAAAGGAAGCGCUCUCCACUCAAUGUGUAAUUAACCUGCGAAGGAACCCAACCUGCUCGCUAUUAACUGAGGCAAGCCGUUAGCUGGGCUUUCCGAUGGCUGGAAGCAUAACAGCCGUUUUGGCAGUUACACUGGUUAAGCCUGCAGUUCCUGAGGUAAUUCAUCCUCUGCGGUACGACAUGACAUGACAGCCAGGUUGAGAAGAGCCACAUCCCCUGGGAUGCAAAAAAAAGUGGAGGUGAGAUUGGGCCUGUAGACAGAGAAGACAGUAGCGCAGAGGAGGCCGUGCUGAUCCAGGGAAGGUAGGGAGCUUGACUGAGGUCACACGCCACGUUGAGGUGGAGCCCUGAGCCCCCGCUUCCUGGUCCCGAGCCAGCGCCCUCUCCCUCACAGUGUGUGGCCACCCCUCCAGCGGGUGGCCACACACUGGAAGGUUGCUGCGGACUCUCGUUUCUUGCCUUCUUCUCCACUCCCGUCCUUGCUCGCUGCACGGUUAGUGGGCGGUGACCCCCUCCUGAAGGGUGUGGUCAGAAUCUGGGCCUGGGAAAUCAGGACAAUCAAUGUGGGGAGCUGUUCCAUCUGAGUAUGUUUCUUCAGGGCAGGAAUUCUGACCCACUUUGUGUCCAUGAGAUCUUGAGUCUUCUGGAAAGUGCAAGCGAUAGUAUAGAAUAGAGAAAAAGAGAGCUUGUUUUUCAUGCGGAUGUCAGUGUUACCAGUUCGAAUGCUGUCUUCACUGCUUCUAGGUAUGUGACCGCGGUGACUUGCUUCCUGACUCUCUGUCUCCUCCUUAUCUUACCACUGCCUUCGUACACGUGCGCUGAAAAGCGUGUGGCAUGCAGGGGCGCACUAACCAUUCAAAAACUGGCAGGUGGAAUUAUUGGAACUGGAAUUAGCACGAGAUGACCCAUUAGGAGAGAACCUAGCUCUAUCUUUUAAAUUUAUUAUCUCUCUACCCUUUAACUUCUCAUUCACUCAACAGCUACUUUCUGAGCACCUAGGAUGCACUGUGUUAGGUGCUUGCUCUCCAGGUGUGAACAAAGUAUAGUCCCUAUCCACUUGGAGUGUACAGCUAAGCAGAGGAGACACUCAUGCCCAAAGAAGAAAAACACACCCAGAAUCACAGUGCAGUAGACAUAUGCUGCGUUGGAGGUGGAGAUUUUUAAAGCAUUGUGGAGUCCUAGAAGGACAUUUUGCCCAUUAGAUAAAUAUUUAUUAAGCACUAACUAUGUGCUAAACCCUGUGAUAGGCAUUCAUCAAGUUAUUUACUCUUCAAGUAAAUCCUACCCUCAGGAAAAGUGACAUCUUGGAAAGGCAUUCUGUUACUUAUUGGGAAGUCCAGAAAACAUUCCGAGAAUCUGAGCCUACGCUGGCAGUCUAAUCACACACAGCUGCAAGUGAGCAUUAUUUAUUACUAGAGGAUAUUCGGAAUCAUUCAAAAGUGGUUCCAGAGAGUUGUUGUUGUCUUGGUGAAAGAUACUGGUAGGAAGUCCCAGAAGAGGAUCAAGAGGGACCCUGUAGAUAGUUAAGAGCUCUUCUGAGGAUUUUGUAGGCCCUGGGCCCUCUUACCCAUGAAGACACAGCCCAGAUCUUCUGAAACAUCCCAAGUAUAUGAUAGCACCUGAAAUACCUCCAUAGACCCCUGCAAA